GAUGAAGAACGCAGUAAAAUGCGAUACUUGGUGUGAAUUGCAGAAUCCCGUGAACCAUCGAGUUUUUGAACGCAAGUUGCGCCCGAAGCCUUUUGGCCGAGGGCACGUCUGCCUGGGCGUCACGCAUCGCGUCGCCCCCCACAAUUCUCCGUAAAGGGAACGUGUGUUUUGGGGGCGGAUAUUGGUCUCCCGUGCUCAUGGCGUGGUUGGUCGAAAUAGGAGUCCUUUCGAUGGACGCACGAACUAGUGGUGGUCGUAAAAACCCUCGUCUUUUGUUUCGUGCUGUUGCUCGCAAGGUAAACUCUUUAAAAACCCCAAUGUGUCGUCUCUUGACGACGCUUCGACCGCGACCCCAGGUCAGGCGGGACUACCCGCUGAGUUUAAGCAUAUCAAUAAGCGGAGGA
This 404-nucleotide unclassified non-coding RNA is filed under the name soil metagenome. RNAcentral describes it as "partial contains 5.8S ribosomal RNA, internal transcribed spacer 2, and large subunit ribosomal RNA". The stretch from base 1 to 122 matches the Rfam family "5.8S ribosomal RNA", at positions 35 to 154 of the family's 154-position model. The record is from RNAcentral.